RNAcentral lists this ribosomal RNA (619 nucleotides) under uncultured Verrucomicrobiota bacterium. RNAcentral's name for it is "bacterial SSU rRNA". It matches the Rfam family "Bacterial small subunit ribosomal RNA", at positions 77 to 680 of the family's 1533-position model. The record is from RNAcentral. Lineage: Bacteria; Pseudomonadati; Verrucomicrobiota.
UAGCAAUACCGAAGAAAGUCUAGUGGCGAACGGGUGCGUAACACGUGGGCAAUCUGCCUUAAAGUGGGGAUAGCUCGGCGAAAGCCGGAUUAAUACCGCAUGUGAUUACCGGAGACAUCUUCGGAACAUCAAAGUCGGGGCAACCUGACGCUUUUUGAGGAGCCCGCGGCCUAUCAGCUAGUUGGUGAGGUAACGGCUCACCAAGGCUUUGACGGGUAGCUGGUCUGAGAGGACGACCAGUCACACUGGAACUGAGACACGGUCCAGACACCUACGGGUGGCAGCAGUCGAGAAUUUUUCUCAAUGGGGGAAACCCUGAAGGAGCGACGCCGCGUGGAGGAUGAAGGUCUUCGGGUUGUAAACUCCUGUCAUUUGGGAACAAUGCUUACGUAUUAACUGUACGUGAGUUGAUAGUACCAGAAGAGGAAGAGACGGCUAACUCUGUGCCAGCAGCCGCGGUAAUACAGAGGUCUCAAGCGUUGUUCGGAUUCAUUGGGCGUAAAGGGUGUGUAGGUGGCGCGCUAAGUCGGGUGUGAAAUUUCGGAGCUUAACUCCGAAACUGCAUUCGAUACUGGCGUGCUUGAGGACUGGAGAGGAGACUGGAAUUCACGGUGUAGCA